AUGGGUGGAAGGUCUGUUGUUUCCGUUGAUGACUUGGAGUUUGAUUCCUCGCCUAAUAAUGUCAAGACAUUGGUUUUGUUUGGGCGAACUGACAAUGGCAAGAGUGCAACCGAUAACACUAUUCUUGAAAAAAAGGUUUUCAAGUCAAAGACAAGCUCCUCCAGUGUCACCGCCUCGUGUGAAAUAAAGAGAGCUGUGAUGAAUGAUGGACAAGUCAUUAAUGUUAUUGACAGUGCAUAUAUAUAUAUAUAUAUAUAUAAAGUUAAAUAUGGUUUUAAUUUCUAUAUAUAUUUUCAUAAGAAUGUCCUGAAACAUUCUCCUCAUACUGUUUUUGGGAUGUCAUUAGCAUGCAUUGU
This is a non-coding RNA of Vicia faba (fava bean), 356 nucleotides long. NCBI's taxonomy places the organism in Eukaryota, Viridiplantae, Streptophyta, Magnoliopsida, Fabales, Fabaceae. The record is from the annotation of a GenBank genome assembly.